UUGCUAAUGGUUUUAGAUAUAUAUUGUUUAUUAUUUUUAGGACACUUCUAUUCCUAUACUUUCUAGUAUUUUCAAUAGAAAUGGGUGUUGCAUUUUAUCAAAGGCUUUUUCUGCAUCUAUUGAGAUAAUCAUGUGAUUUUUGUCGGUUUGCUUGUUAAUAUGGUCAAUUAUGUGGAUGGUUUUCCUAAUAUUGAACCAUCCUUGCAUUCCUGGUAUAAAUCCUACCUGGGGAAGACCAUUUAUUCUUAAAUAUCUCUUAGACCACUAAUGUAGCCUUUCAAAAUAGCAGUUACUUAAGAUAUCUCUGCCUUCUCAAAACUAGCCAGUAAAUACAAAUGGAGAAUAGAGUGAGGAGUGAAACAAAUUCAGAACAUUUCCAAAUACCAAUUGAUGAGAAUGAGAAACAACUAUAAAAGCCAUCUUGGUGUCUCUUUUUCUGUCCUCUUGGUAAAAAUCUGAUGGUGCUGACUUCCUAAGCAAUAGCUCAGAGGGGGAAAAAGUUGAGCUAUGGAAACAAGACUACACAGAAAAAGUCAGAUGCAAAUCUUAAUGAGGAGAUUUUAAUAAAUACCACUGUCUUUUUGGCAGCCACCAACAUAUGACAGCCAGGUGAAUGCCAAACAUUUUAUCUGUAUAUAACCCAGUCGUGAUCCUUUGCCUGGCGCCUGAUACUUGAGCCAAGUCAGGAGGAAGUUAUCAGUAGCACAAAGUUCCCAGGCUGUGUUCUGGACCACAAUGAGAAAGCCCAGUGGGAGCCCACAAAUUUAGGCAGCACCAGAUACUAAUUCUUAUGAGUUGUAGAAAAGAAUUGGUAGGGAUCCAGAGCAAACUUGGUUUCUUGAUUAGUUUUCCAGAUGUAGAAACUAAGCAAUGAUUGGUUAUUCUUUCUUAAGUCAAUUGACUGGUGAAAGGACCAGUUUUUGACCAGAAUCUUCAAGUGGACAAUAUUAAUGGAUAUUAUCAAGGAGAAUAGUUUGCAUUUAGAAAAGUUUGCCAGUCCUCACUCCCCCAUUGACCAAUGUGUCUAGUGUUGAGCUUAAGUAUCUUUUUCUAUAUGAGUAUUGCUUAUAUCUACAUUCAUCAUGUAAAUUUGAAAGAAGCUAGGGAGAAGCAUGGAGUUGUGGGGCGGGAGACUGAACAACAGAGUAUUACUCAGAGAAGGAAAAUAUUCCCUUUUUCCUGAGCCUUUCCUGAUGAGGUAAUUGUUUUUAGACAGCCAUGUGACUAAUGUACAAAGGCUCAAAGUUAGUGCCUUGUCUCACACUCUACUGCUAACACUUUUUCAGAAAAAUAAGUCUCUAAAUCUAGGUUGAAUAAUGCCAAACUUAUAGUAGCAAAAUACUGCUAUUUCAAAUUAAGUUUUUAAUUAAAAAAAAUUAAUGCCCAUCUGUUCAAGAGAGUAGCCUAUUUGAAAAGAGAAAAUAAAACAAGUCUUGGGGAAAUAAAACUUUUUUUUUUCGUUUUACAUGUGUUUGAAUUACAGUUAACUAACCCUGACCAAAAUAUGGACUCUAAUUUAUGGAGAGGGAAGUUGGGAGAAUAUAUUUUUACAUCUUUUAAAAACAAGUUGCCCAGAAAUUACAGCAUUUGGGAUAUCAUGACAGUAAAUGAGGUUUGAUAUUGCUCUCAAGUGGCUAGAAAAUUUGGCAGUGUUAUAGGGCAAAGGAGGAGGCAAAUGAUUUAGGCCAGAGAUGUUCACCCACAAGAGAGCUGAGCAAUGAACUAGAAUGGUACAGGAAAAUCAUCAUUCUUCCUGAGUUGGCUUUGGCUACGGCUGUGGCACACCCUCUGUGAUGGCACCACUCCCUCACUUCCAAGUCAGCCCAUGAAAUAGUGGGAAAAGAGCCAGGAUCUGAAACUCCUCUUGCAGGCAUUAGACUCAGCCUUCCAGUAUGUCAACUAUCUAGUAAGGAAAGGCUGUGCACUUGAAGAUUUGGAAAUAUUAAUGAGCUGGUGAUUGCACUGAUGGACCCCCACUACACUAUUGAGGACUUCAAAGUGGCCCACCCUCAGGACCCUCAUCACCCAUCUGAGAAGCCUGUCAUCCAGUGCUACAAGUGUGGAGAGCCAUGCAAGGGUGAAGUGCUCCGGGUUCAAGCCAGGCAUUUCCACAUCAAAUGCUUCACUUGCAAAGUAUGUGGCUGUGACCUGGCUCAAGGAGGCUUCUUCAUAAAGAACGGAGAAUACCUCUGCACCCUGGAUUACCAACGAAUGUAUGGAACGCGCUGUAAUGGCUGUGGGGAAUUUGUGGAGGGGGAGGUGGUGACAGCUCUUGGGAAGACCUACCACCCUAACUGCUUUGCCUGUACUGUCUGCAAACGCCCAUUUCCACCUGGAGACCGAGUUACCUUCAAUGGAAGGGACUGUCUUUGUCAACUCUGUGCUCAGCCAAUGUCUUCCAGCCAUAAAGAGGUCUCAAGCUCCAGCAAUUGUGCUGGCUGUGGCAGAGACAUAAAGAAUGGACAAGCACUGCUGGCUUUGGAUAAGCAGUGGCACCUGGGGUGCUUUAAGUGCAAAUCCUGCGGAAAAGUCCUCACCGGGGAAUACAUCAGCAAGGAUGGAGCUCCUUACUGUGAAAAGGACUAUCAAGGGCUCUUUGGUGUCAAAUGUGAAGCUUGUCGCCAGUUUAUCACAGGGAAGGUUUUAGAGGCAGGUGAUAAACAUUACCAUCCAAGCUGUGCGCGAUGCAGCAGGUGCAACCAAAUGUUCACAGAAGGAGAGGAAAUGUAUCUUCAAGGUUCUACCGUUUGGCAUCCCGACUGUAAGCAGUCUACGAAGACAGAAGAAAAGCUCCGGCAGCCUCCAAAUAUACCACGUUCCUCAUCUGAAUUCUUUUAUCCUAAAAGUCUGAUUCGCCGAACACGACGCUCUCCACAGCUAUUACCACCACCUUGUCUAGUGAACUUCAACAAAAACCAAAGGCAGCCAACAAGGACAUCUUCUGAAAGUAUUUAUUCCAGACCAGGAUCAAGUAUCCCUGGAUCACCAGGCCAUACCAUCUAUGCAAAAGUUGACAAUGAGAUCCUAGACUACAAGGAUUUAGCAGCCAUUCCCAAGGUCAAGGCAAUUUAUGACAUUGAACGUCCAGAUCUUAUUACUUAUGAGCCAUUCUACUCUUCAGGCUAUGAGGACAAACAGGAGAGGCAGAGCCUUGGAGAGUCUCCAAGGACUCUGUCUCCCACGCCAUCGGCAGAAGGAUACCAGGAUGUUCGAGAUCGAAUGAUUCAUCGAUCAACUAGUCAGGGCUCCAUUAACUCUCCUGUAUACAGCCGCCAUAGUUACACCCCAACAAUGUCACGUUCUCCACAGCAUUUCCACAGACCUGAGCUGCUGUCUCCUGGUGUGCAGCGGUUGUCACACCUGCGCACUAGCAGUCUCAGCUCCACCCACAAUGACUCCCGCCCCAACUCCCCAUUCCGACACCACUUCAUUCCCCAUAUCAAAGGCAAUGAGCCAUCCAGCGGCCGGAACUCCCCUCUCCCUUAUCGGCCAGACAGCCGCCCUCUAACUCCAACUUACGCUCAGGCCCCUAAACAUUUCCAUGUUCCAGAUCAAGGGAUCAACAUAUACCGAAAACCACCCAUCUACAAACAACAUGAUCCAGCUGCCUUGGCAGCACAGAGCAAGUCUUCAGAGGAUAUCAUCAAGUCCUCCAAGUUCCCAGCAGCCCAUGCUCCAGACCCCAACGAGAUACCAAAGAUUGAGACGGAACACUGGCCAGGUCCCCCCUCACUUGCCGCCGUAGGGACUGACAUGAGGCGCAGAUCAAGUGGCCGUGAGGAAGAUGAGGAGGAGCUUCAGAGACGCCGACAACUUCAAGAAGAACAACUGUUGAAGCUCAACUCAGGUCUGGGGCAAUUGAUUCUAAAAGAAGAAAUGGAAAAAGAAACCCGAGAAAGGACUUCUCUUUCAGCCAGUCGCUAUGAUUCUCCACUUAAUUCAUCUCCACAUGCGUCAUCCAAAACCUCCUCCCUCCCUGGUUAUGGGAGAAAUGGCCUUCACCGGCCUGUUUCUACAGAUUUUGCCCAAUACAAUAGCUAUGGUGAUGUCAGUGGUGGGAUUCGAGAUUUCCAGGUAGAGUGUGUUUUUUCUUCCACUUUGACAACAGAAACACAUCAGCUAUCUUCCUAUCCAAUUGUGAAAUGGUCCUCCAUGAAACGGUUUUUGUUAAUGAAAUGUUAUUUUCUAUUCAUCUAUGUGUUUGAGCCUAAUCUUCAGUUUGUAUUGGCAAGAGUUAGUUGUAUAUGAUGCUAUCAUCUGUCUAGGUGACUCAUCACCUAUCAGACAGACUGAAGUAAGGCUUAUGUAAGUCUCUUCCUUUGGAAAGUCCCUUCUAAUGCUAAACUAUUCAAGCAAUGAGUAUCUUAACAGUUUUUUUUCUUUUGGUGAUAGAGAUGACUUGGCAUGUGAACUGUGAGCUCCUGGGCUUCCUGUCCAUUGCUUAGUCCCAACUAAAAGAGAAGGACUUCCAUUUUUUAAAUUCUGUGACCCUUUUAUCCAAUAAAUUUUCAGCCUUUCUCCAUUUGUUUCCAUAAACCUAGACAUAACUCAUUCUUUUGUCCAUAAAAGACACCCUUGAAUGAUGCCAUCCAAGAAUGAUGUUGUAUAGUAAAUAAAUAACUAGACUUGGAGUCAGGAAGACAUGGAUUCAAAUCCCACUACAGAUACUAACUGUAUGGCCUUGGGCAGGUUACUUAACCUCUCUAAGCCUCAGUUUCCAAAUUUGUAAAACUAGAGAAUUGGUCCUCAAAUGUCUCUUUUAGCUCUAAAUCUAUGGCCCUAAGAGGUCAUAAUUCAUGGGUCUAAAACCUUGGGAGUCUUCAUAAAUUUUAUACUCAUUGAUUGAUAGGAAGUUGAUAGAAGUAUGAUUCUCAUGGAAGCGUGAGAUGAUUUCUAGUUCCUCCUUUAUGUAAUUUAGACCAUGUUGAUGCAUAAUUAAUAAAGAGAAUUAGACCUGGUUUCUUGAAAAGAGAUACCCUUAAAUUCAGGACCUUUGGGCUACUGUUAGUUGGUAUAUAAACAGAAAAAUGGAAGAGACAUACUCAUAGUCCAUUUUUUAAAAUGAUAGCUGAGAUUUUAUUUGUAUAAAUUGGCAGUGAGGUUUUAUACCUGAGAGAGAGAACAUCAGAAGUAAAACUCUUCUGUUUUCACUGUUCCUUGCAUGCUUUUCCACCAGACCCUCCCUGAUGGCCAUGUACCUGGAAUGCGAAUGGACAGAGGUGUGUCCAUGCCUAACAUGUUGGAGCCAAAGAUUUUCCCAUAUGAAAUGCUCAUGGUGACCAACAGAGGGCGGAAUAAAAUACUAAGAGAUGUAGACAGAACCAGGCUUGAGCGCCAUUUAGCACCUGAAGUGUUUCGAGAAAUAUUUGGAAUGUCAAUACAGGAGUUUGACAAGUUACCUCUUUGGAGGCGCAACGACAUGAAGAAAAAAGCAAAACUCUUCUAAGUCACAUCUGCCCAACAAUUUGAAAUGUUGAUGAGGAUAAUGCAUAGGAUAUAGUAUUAUAUAAUGGCCAUGUUUGACUGGAGAACUUAGAAACUACUUCUCCACAGCAACAACAAAAAGGGAAAAAUCUGAUUGAGGCACCCGUGAUCUAACCAUUGGCCCACCAACAUCAACACUUGCCAAGAAGCAAUGGGGUGGAACUUUAUAUGUUCCAAAACUUGACAGUAGUUUUCAUGUGUGAUAUUUUUACAUUAUCUUCUGUACAAGAUUUGAGCCACUUUCUUAUUUGUUUCCCUUUAACUGUUGUCCAAAAAUACAACAGACUAUUGGUCAAGCCAGGAAGUGCCCUUAAGAUGCUGAAUGGGGAAAAAAAGUAGUUUUAAUAACUCCAAAAAAUGAUUAUAUAUAUUACAGUACUGUGGUAAAGAAGAAAAAAACCUGUGUAACAUAUCCAUAUGGUAACAUUGCACAAAUGUUUCUUAAUUGGCCUCAUUUAAAACUGCCCAUUCUGUAACUGUAGGAGAAAUCAGAGAGGUAGGCACCUGAGGAAAAUACUCCACUGGGCUACUUACCAGUGGAAUGAUGUUAAAUGUGUUCCUCACUCUCUGCUGUACACAUUUACUAGGAUGUGGUUGGUGAAUUUCUGUGCUUUUGUAAAGAAUAUUUCUCCCUCCUCACUUUUUUUUUUUGCUUCAGAUAACUUGGCUUCAGCUUAACCUACCCAGCAAAGGCAAGUAGCAAAUCUGAACCCAGCUUGCAAAAAGAGAGGAGGGAAAGCUCUCCUUUAGAUUGGGUUACAUGCUCUUUGGGGACACAUGCCACCAAGUUUCCCCAGGAAGCACACCAUGUUAUGGAAAAUAACACGUCAUGUUAUUCUGUCAAUGCAAAUGUAUUAGCCUGUCAUCAUCCAUCCAUGUGACAAGUUAUAUAUCAUAUCAAACUGAAGGUCAUUUCAACCCUAGGCUAAGAAAGGCUCUUAUUUUCUCUCUUUCAUCUUUGUAGUUGUUUGGAAUUUACUCAAGUUGAAGGUGAGAAAGAGGAAGUUGGCUUUCCUUUGUGCCUCACACUGUUGAGACUUCAUGAUUUGUGGACAAAAAUGACUCAGAAUAAUUUUGAAUAAUGGGCUUCAAAAAUCUUAUUACUGCCUAAAUGCUCUAGUUUUUGACAAAAUUGUCAAUGAAAUAUGCAAGGGGCAAGUCAUUUCUGUGGAAGGAUGAGGUUAUUUUCUUCCAUUCUUCUGUUCCCUUGUGAAAAGUGAGAUGGGAUAUAUAUAUAUUAUAUAUAUAUACAUAUAGCCUUUUCCCCUUUUGUUGGCAUAUGGAAGCCAUUGUACAACAACAAUGCACUGAUAUAAUUACCCAUCUCUUGCUUUGAGCAACACUCAAAUUCUGGCUACAGAGCAAAGAAUUAAGUUAACAUUGUGACUUGACAGAUCAAACCAUUCCCCCUUAAGGUCCAAAGUCUUGUAAGAGGAGAUAAACAUGUAUGUUUCCUAAAAUGGGAAUCCAGGGAUCCCCCCUCACACUUAAAUAGAACUCCAUCUACCUGAUCACCUCACAAUAAAGAGUCAUUCAAUUUAUGUGGCUCAUUACCAUGGAGCUCCCCUAGAACCACCGGUGCAAGAAUCAAAACAUAACUUCCGAGUUCCCUAAAGAAACCAAAGGAGAAGGUAUUUGAGUUGAUCUGCAAGAGUUCCAAUUAUGGCAAGAGAUUGGAGAUUCUACUCUUGACAGGGAUAAGAUUAGCUGUCUGUUAGGCAGCUAAUGAUGGAAACAACUAGGUUUGUUUUCCAAAUGGGCAUAGUAGUAGAGAUACAAGGAGAAAUGCUAUGUGGGUACAACACACUUAAAUGUACUAGGUGCUACAAUAGAGAGUAGAAUCCAUGUAUAGUGGUCUUUUUAUUUACUAAUCUAGUUGAAGCCAUCUAAUUUUAUUGUACCUUCAGACCCAUGGAGUGAAUGUUCAGUGACUGUCCUUACAUAUGUGUCUAUAUUUGUGUGUGUGUGUAUCUUAGAUCUACUAAAUCAUGUAACAAACUGUUCCCGUGCUAGGCAUACUGGGUUAUUUUUGAGAUGAAAGCUUCACUUGACCCUAAACCAAACUUCUGCCUUCAUUUUUGACCCUUGAGGCAUUAGAUGCUUUACUAUCCGCUAUGGUGAGAGGGUCUACUGCUGUUCUGUCAUUUCUCUGAACUCUCCUGUGGCUGCCACCCUUGCCAAAUCCUUUUUUAUUCUUUUAUGUAUGGUGAUCUUCUCUGGCAAAGCAAGCUAUCCAGUGUUUUGUGCCCUUUCAUAGUUCUAGAAGGCUUGUUUUAAUAGGAGGGGUGUAUUCCCAAAGUUUAUUCACAAAAUAGAAGAGAAAACCUACUUGAGUAAAAUUCCAACCCUUUGGCUCCCAAAUUUAUUUUUAUCUAACUGAAAAAAAAAACAGUGGCUCUUAAUCAUUUUAUAAUCAUCGAUUUAACCCCAAAAUUUAUUUGCACAUCAGAUUUUGGUGCAUAAAAAAAGAAAAAUUAAGGUACCUGGUAAAUGUAGACAUUGUUAAAUGACCAAAGAUCUCAUUCUUUGGGCCAGGUGGGGAAGAUGUAAUUCUUAGUCACAAAAACACAAAAUAUGAGAGCAGAAAAGUACCUAACCUCUAGUUCAAGCCCUCUGUUGUUUAGAUUAGAAACUGGGACCCCUGAAAGGUUAUAUGGCGUGUCCAAUAUCAUACAACUUUUAGUGGGAGAGCUAAGACAAGGACUCAAGUCAUCUCAAGCCCUGUGUUCUGUAUCCUAAAUGAUAUUGCCACUGUAUGGGAUUUUAUUUUAAGUAGAUCUUCCAUCCAGACCUAAGAAGUCAUUUUUUCAUCUCAUUCAUUUGCUGCUAAUACCAUUAACUAGAGCAGAAGGACCUCCCCAACUCCCAAUAUGCACACACACCAAAAUUGCCUGCCAAAGAAUUCAUCAGCCUCCUGUCUGUAGGCAAGACUACACUUUGACCUAGGGAGAAAAAGACUUAGAAACCUAAACACUCAUGACAAUAGAAUGCAUAGUAGACUAGGGCUAUAAUCCAAUUACUCUAGGAUGGGGAAUGGGGCUGGUCUAGUUUAUAUAACUGCCAAAUCAUACAUGUGGACUUGUCAGGUUCAUUAAAAUCAGCCUAGCAUGCACACCUUUGAGACACACCCAGGUCACUCAAUGAAGUGCAGCUGGACCAUGUUAAAAGCAAACCUUGUAUUAUGUAUGACACUAUUUAUAUAAUAUUUAAAUUAGGAGUAAAUAUUCACUUUACCAAAAAAGGCUGAAUAUUAGAUGCAUUGAAUUGUCAACCGUCCUUGGUUUAUUGUCAAAGUAUUCUUAGGUUUAUGACCAUCUGAUUGACUUGCACCUUUUCAGGAAUGCAUCUAAUAUGCAAAGAGAGGUUUACUUUAGAAGUGAAUCACUAACUAAACUGUAUAUGGUUCCUUUAAAUGAACUUAAGGAUGUUCAAAGUAAGACUUAGUCUUCCUUACCAAUGGUGUCCUUUAAAACAGAUCACAAUGAUUUGCUGAACAUUAGAAGACUGCAGCAAUAUAUGUCUCUCUUUUUUUUUUAGCUUGGGACUAGUUUUGAAGUGCUCUUAAUAUGUUUUCUGCAAUGAGCUCUGUUGAAUCACCUUUUCCUCAACGCUGAAAUUGGCAAGUUAAUAAGGUGCAAGAAGUAAUUCUGCAUCUGUGUUGUUCCCUGGUCACCUUCUCUCAGAAAAAUAUAUGCUUCCAAUUGAUCUUCUUCUGAUGCAGAUGCUGUGGCCAUUCUCUUGUGACUGCUCUCACCCCUCAGGCUGGUGAGGUUGGUCAUCUUUACCAGCAAUUUCUAGCAGAUUAGCUGGUAAUGUUUAUAAAUCCUUAAUCUGAUUUCAUGAUACUUCGAAGCAAAUACUUUUUCUAAAGAAUUGCUUCUCUUGGAUACAGUUACACUUUUGCAAGUUUGAAAAUUUUAGGUCACUUUUGAUUAGAUAGAUCUUUCUAAAACCUGUUUGAGACAACACCUUAACAUCAUUUCAAAAAGGAGAAGAGAAGGCAACUCUUCCAGGCUAUAUGCUUUUGUAAACACUUUCCUGAUCGGCAAGAAGGAUGCUGAAAGGAAAAUCAGUCUUAUUUCACCAACCUAACUGUGCCCCCCAUGCAAAAUAUGUCUGGAACAAAUCGAGUUUUUACAAAUUACCUACUCUUUCUCAUCAGUGCUUGUUUACUCUACCCCGUUGUUUUUCCUGUGUAUCUGAUGCCUGGAUGUUGCCUUUGCUCUCUGUUUUUUCCCCCAUACAUUAAAAAAAAACAACCCACAAUGUUGUUCUUUCUGAUGAAAUGGACAUUUUAUUUUAAGGAACCAGAUGCUUCUCACUGCUGGGAAAUUGUUAGUGUUCUCUUACAAAAACAUUUCUAAUAUAAUAAUAAUAAUAGUUUGUUUUACUAAAACAGAGAAAAAAUAUUUCAGUCAGAGUAAUUCUGCCCAUGAUAAGAGCUACUGAAAAUCUUGUAGUAAAAGAAAGAUUGCUUGGUUGGGGGGUGUGGGGUAGGUAUAAAAGCAAUCAUUGCUUUUUCAGAUGCUAUCAAGGAGGCAAUGGGUAACACCUAGAAUCAUUCUUUACUAUAGUUUGAAUUUUAACUUGUCCCGGUUUCAUUUAUGAUGAAUUCAGCAGAUUUAUAUAGAAAUACUCUCUAAGAUAACUAAUAUAUGUGCAGUUCUAAAUUCAACCGAAAUGCUUAUUUUAAGAUGCUUCAGAUCUUUGGGUGAUGAUGGUUCCCAUUAGACUGCAUUGUUCCCUAACAUGUCUCCCACAACUCCUGUUGAUGAACUGUCAUUAUCUGUUUUAAAAGCUGGCAUUCAAAAUGAUUUCACUCCCUCUAAUCAUUAUGAUUUUUAUUUAACUCCAGGGAGCAAGACAAGAGGAGAUAUUCAAAUAUUGUUCUACCCUUGGAAAUGAAUUUGUUAUUCUUAACAUACUUGUCCAGUAAUGUGUGUGAUUUCUGUGAGUUGCUGACAAAUCUGUGCAUGAUAGCCCUUAAAAUCACUUUUACUUUGGUUUUCUUUUUUAAAAAGAUUAAAAGAAUUUUUUCUUCCCAUUCCCCCUUCUUUGCUUCCAAAAAUAUUCAAACAAGUAUUUGGAAGACUUCCUUUUGAAAAAAGGAAAGAAAGAAAGAAAGAAAAAAUGUGUGUUGUGUCUCCUGUGAAAGUGAAUUGUCUGUCUCCACACUGAGUACUCAAUGCUUGUAUGCAGAGUGAAGAGUUGGCCUGCCAUUCUUUGGGUUGCUGUUCUGUAGAAUUACUGAUCUUCUCCACUUUUCCUGUUGCAAGCAACACAUAUUGCACUCCUAUGCCACUAUAAUCUGCAUCACUGUUGUACUCAGAACAAGUCAAUGAAUAAAGUUUUGUGCUUUAUUCUUAAA
Molecule: non-coding RNA, 10852 nt
Organism: Monodelphis domestica (gray short-tailed opossum)
Lineage: Eukaryota; Metazoa; Chordata; Mammalia; Didelphimorphia; Didelphidae
Source: RefSeq, a predicted model, not a curated record